CUUGAAUUAAUAAAUUUAUAAAUACAUAAAAAAAAUUAGAGAUGCCGAUCGAGUAGCAUGUUGGAAGUGUUCUAGAGUGCCUAAGGAGGGUUAUUGUGUGGCAUGAUAAGCAACCUCAUUAGGACUGUUAGUGCUCCAAAGGAGAAAAUAUAUCAAUCCGUCUUGAGGUGCAAUGACUUAAUAUUGUUAUGUGAUAAUAGGACACAUCGAUAAAAGAUGAAACAAACAACAUAUAAAUGCUUGGACUACCUCUCUUGAAAAGGUCGAUGUUUUAAUAUGAAAUCCAAAUUCUUAAUAUGGUUUCAAUACCCAUUGAGUGACAUACGAUUUGCACAUGUCUUGUCAUUCUAUUGACUUGUUCUCGAACACCAUGCUUCUCGCCAUUCUAUUGACUUGUCCUUGAACACCAUGUGGAUUUCACCGGUAUUGCAAGGGAGAUUGCUUACAUGGGCCAUUGGGUGAUUGCUGCACCCCAACUAACUGAGAAAAAAAGUAAAAUUAAAUCAUUGUGAUUGCCCAAGAGAACUGCCUAUUGAUGAGGAAUAAAGCAUGCUACGAAUUUUAUUGAAAGGAGUCAUUGGAAUUGGAGAAAAGCCUCCACCAGUACCAGAUAUUUUAUGAAGAUGAAGGUAAGAGCACAAAGAGAGCAAGACACCAAAAACAAAACGAGCCCGUGAAAGGAAUGCUUUUGAAAGAACUAAGUGAUGGUUCUUCUAUUUACAAAUCCAUGGCUCAUAAUUUCUGCAAGAUGAGCAUAGAUAGUCCUUUGCUGGACAAUCUCUUUAAACAAACUUGUGGAGAUACUAGGACAAUUCAGCACAAAAGAAUAUUAUGAAAUUCCCAUCGUGCACAAAUAAUGUCUCAUGUCCUUCAAAAACCUCAGGUAUUUAAUUGUGCAUCAAUUAAAGACAAAUAAAUAACAUACAGGACUUGAGCAAUUGCUUAUAAAAAUGCUGAACUUAUUCUUAAUAUGGUAUCAAAGCUAGGGGAAUGACACACGUCUUGCACAUGAGAGUCUCACCAUCUAUUGAUUUAUUUUAGCACAACAUGCAAACUCCAUUGACGUCUCAUAGGAGGUUGUUGAUGUGAGCCAUUGGGUGAUUUCUGCAACCUUACUAAUGAAUGGAGAUUGAGAAAUUAAGUUAAGAGAAACCACGGUGAUUGCACAAGAGAGCUGUGCGUUGUUGAGGAAAUAUACUAAUAUUAGUGAAAGAUAAAAGAGUUAUGCCCCGGAAUUUCUUUGGAUUUGAAAAAAGUCUCUACUAAAAGUGGAAAAGAAAUAGACUUUUACCACGAUGUGUAAGAGAAGAAGAGAGCAAGACGCCAUAAAUGAAGUGAGUCUAUGAAAGAAAGGCUUUUAAAAGAAUUUAGCUUCCUCAUCUGCUGGGAAGUAUUGGUUCUUCCACUUACAACUCCGUGUGCUCUUAACUUCUGAAAGGUGUGCAUGGAGAAUGCAUUUUCUGGCCAAUCUUCCAUAAAACAGAGGACAUGUGAAGGUACAAGGAAACUCUAAGCGCAAAAAUUUUUUAUGAAAUGUCCGUAUGCAUAAAGGAUAUAUCUAAUAUCAUUGAGAAGCCUCACAUCUUUAUUUACACAUCGGCCAAAGAUGAAACAAAUAAACAGCAUAUUAGCUACUUCUGACACAACCCAUCCCGAAUCACCUUUGAUUCGACACGUGUUGUGUGCCAAUGGUAGAUUCCAGCUAAAUGCCGGACCCACUACCAAUGCAACGUUGACUUGCUUUGACUGUGAAAUAUUUUAAAAGAAUUUUGAUAGGGUCACCUCUAAAAUAUGGAUUAAAACCACCUAAUCAACACCCAAUUUUCUCAAGUCCGUUCAUAUAAUGUAAAAUAUGAUACUCCAGUAUCUCAAAAUACUAACUAUUCAAAAAUAAAAUACUGACAAAUCGAUAUUUACUUUGCUCUACAACCAAAACUCCUCAAAUGUACUAAAGAUAUCAAAUAUGUAGUCAGCCUAUGAUGACCUUUUCUGACCUAAACUACAUGUAACCCACAAGAAACAUGUACUGUGUAAUCUAAUAACGUAGGCCAUACAACUUAUGGCGCGUGGCUCAAUUUGGUGGAUCGACAGGCUCCAAAUCUACUCAACUCGGCUGCUAUCUGUUAAAUAAAAAUGUGAAAAGAUAUAUAAACUUAUAGCUCAGUGAGUGGAUAAUUUGCAAAUAAAUAUACUUUUUCUUUUAUGCAUAUUUUCUGAAAAUUCUUACUCUAUUAAAUUUUGAAAAAUUCUGAAAUUUGGUAACACUUUUAAAA
RNAcentral lists this long non-coding RNA (2273 nucleotides) under Olea europaea subsp. europaea. The record is from RNAcentral. Lineage: Eukaryota; Viridiplantae; Streptophyta; Magnoliopsida; Lamiales; Oleaceae.